Molecule: ribosomal RNA, 433 nt
Filed under: uncultured bacterium
Lineage: Bacteria
Description: partial 16S ribosomal RNA
Rfam family: Bacterial small subunit ribosomal RNA
Source: RNAcentral
AAUGAACGCUGGCGGCAUGCCUAACACAUGCAAGUCGAACGAACACUUCGGGACUUGUGGCCCACGGGUGCGUAACGCGUCGGAACAUGCCCUUAGGGUCGGAAUAACUCUCCGAAAGGGGUGAUAAUACCGGAUAAUGUCUACGGACCAAAAAUUUAUUGCACUUGGAUGUGCCCUCGUUGGAUUAGCUUGUUGGUAGGGUAAAAGCCUACCAAGGCGACGAUCCAUAGCUGGUCUGAGAGGAUGAUCAGCCACACUGGGACUGAGACACGGCCCAGACUCCUACGGGAGGCAGGAGUGGGGAAUAUUGGACAGUGGGCGAAAGCCUGAUCCAGCAAGGCCGCGUGAGUGAUGAAGGCCUUAGGGUUGUAAAGCUCUUGUACCCGGGAUGAUAAUGACAGUACCGGGAGAAUAAGCUCCGGCUAACUCCGUG